This is a long non-coding RNA of Papaver somniferum (opium poppy), 1569 nucleotides long. RefSeq lists it as uncharacterized. The transcript is spliced from 5 exons. NCBI's taxonomy places the organism in Eukaryota, Viridiplantae, Streptophyta, Magnoliopsida, Ranunculales, Papaveraceae. The record is from RefSeq and is a predicted model, not a curated record.
CCUUUUGUUUUCCUUCUCAGUUUCUUCUAGGGUCUGUUAUCUUAUCUUAGCUGAUUUGAUCUCUCAUUGUUGGGUUCUGCAUCAUCGAAUAGGGGUUUGUAGCCAGAUUCAGCGACGGCAUAAUGAAGAAGAAGAAGAAAAAGAUUGAGAUUUGGAUUAUUGAAAUCGGUAUGAGCAGAUUCGGAAAUUAAAACAAAAACUUGGCAGUUCUAGAUGUGAUUCAUUUGGUCAGAGAAACCGAAGAAGUUAGAAUUGAAGCUGCUAUUUCAAUUUCGAUGUUUGUCUAGUUGUUAAACCACUCUACCAUCAUUAUACAUCUUGAAUUUGAACUACUCCUUGAAAGAAUUACAACAUCGGGAUCAAUGAUUUUUCCUCUCAUGCAGCAAUAGUAGAAAUCGGUGGAUUCACUUUUUUAAUUUUUUUUUUUUUUGGUGUACAUAAUUAUUUGAGUUAAUCUAUGGAUUCCACUUUGUUAUGAUCUUUACUGUCUUUUUGAUUAUUUUGUAUAAAUGUUUCUUUCAUUCCAGUAAGCAUCAUUUUAUAAUGUCCUGUACACACAAGAAAAAAUUGUGCUUGAAUGGGUAUUCCAUUAAGUAGUGGGAGGUCAAUUUUUGGUUACCUGCAGAUGAAAGUCCCCUGUAGCUCUGCCCCUCCGGAAACCUGGAUUAAGCAACUAUUUGGUGCAAGGCUGCUUGCUGUUUCUUUUUCGUGCUAAAUUUGAUUGGGAAACAUCACGUUAACAGGCACUGCAAAUUAAUUCUUCGAGGUUGUCAUAGGAGCAGCAAAGAAACAUGUAUACCAGGACAAGUCCUCAAUUUUGAAUAGCAGCAAUGACAAAUCCAAGGCGAAUUCCAACAAGGAAUCCUUUGCGCUUUAGUUGUGGUCUGCAGACAGUGAUGCAAGGCUGCCUGCUCUGCUGUUACUUUUUUUCGUGCUAAAUUUGUAUUGAAAACAUCACAUUAACAGAGUAAGCGUCGGCACUACAAAUUCUUUGAGGUUGUUACAGCAGCAUCCAAGAAACAACUGUAUGAUGACAAGUCUCAAUUCUGAAUAAUAGCAAUGAUAAAUGCAAGGCGAAUUCCAGCAAGGCAGGUUAUGUCAAAUGCGCUUUGGCAAGAAGCAGGGAUUCAGUUUGUUGAUGAUUCCCAAAAACCUGACAAGUCAUUAAUAAGUAUAUUUGAGCAGCAAAUUUGGAACAUCAUAUAUGAGCUACUUAAGUUAGCAAUGAUCUGAGUUUCGGAAAAUAUCGAUGGAGAAGGGAAAUGAUAAGAAAAUCUGCAAAUGGGAUUCGAAGUCGCACUGACCUGACUGUCUUCACAGUUUUUGCUUUGCAAGCUCCGAGUGUCACAAGACUUUCAAUCAUUUCAUUUUCGGCUCUCACAGUUUCCAUUGUAUUCUUAACGCCUAAAAUUGUCUACAUUGGAAAGACUUCCAUGAUCUGUUAUAUCAAGCUGAGUCGCAAUUGCAUUCUUACUGCCUUCAAUUGUCUACAUUAAAAAGCAAUACAUUUGGACUUAUAAAGUGCACAUUACCUGAAACAGUUUCAGUGAGACUAUGGUACCAGGAUGU